CGGCCGCCCAGACCGCCGUCCACGUUCGGGGGUGGCUCUGAAAUCUACCCAGGCUAGUUAAUUUAACCAGGAACCUCAGUGGGGAGAAGUCAAGGUCUCGGCUGCCAAAAGCAUUAGGAGAGAAGCAUCUCCACCUUCAAGGAGCCAUUUUUGAAGGAAACAAAAGAUGAUUGUAUCAAUACUGUGUAGAUAUCAGCUUUAGACUGGAAAAAAGAAAUCACUUGGCGAUUUCACAUAUUCAGGCCUCCGCCCUCAACCAGAGAAACAGCAUGAGCAGGAAGAGCCCUUGUACGACUGGGAAUUUCAGAGGAAAGCCAAGGGGCCAUCUUGGUUGUUGGGUCCUCGUGCUGUUCAUGUGUAAAAAAUGUACUGGAAUUUCAUUAUUGUGGUAGGAUCAAGACUGCCACUUUCUGUGCGUUUCUUAGUUUCCUUAU
This is a long non-coding RNA of Prionailurus viverrinus (fishing cat), 434 nucleotides long. RefSeq lists it as uncharacterized. The record is from RefSeq and is a predicted model, not a curated record. NCBI's taxonomy places the organism in Eukaryota, Metazoa, Chordata, Mammalia, Carnivora, Felidae. The transcript has 3 exons.